ACGCACGCUGGCGGCGUGCCUCGUACAUGCAAGUAGAACGCUGAAGAGAGGAGCUUGCUCUUCUUGGAUGAGUUGCGAACGGGUGAGUAACGCGUAGGUAACCUGCCUUGUAGCGGGGGAUAACUAUUGGAAACGAUAGCUAAUACCGCAUAACAAUGGAUGACACAUGUCAUUUAUUUGAAAGGGGCAAUUGCUCCACUACAAGAUGGACCUGCGUUGUAUUAGCUAGUAGGUGAGGUAAUGGCUCACCUAGGCGACGAUACAUAGCCGACCUGAGAGGGUGAUCGGCCACACUGGGACUGAGACACGGCCCAGACUCCUACGGGAGGCAGCAGUAGGGAAUCUUCGGCAAUGGGGGCAACCCUGACCGAGCAACGCCGCGUGAGUGAAGAAGGUUUUCGGAUCGUAAAGCUCUGUUGUAAGUCAAGAACGGGUGUGAGAGUGGAAAGUUCACACUGUGACGGUAGCUUACCAGAAAGGGACGGCUAACUACGUG
Molecule: ribosomal RNA, 496 nt
Filed under: uncultured bacterium
Lineage: Bacteria
Description: partial 16S ribosomal RNA
Rfam family: Bacterial small subunit ribosomal RNA
Source: RNAcentral